Solanum pennellii is the source of this 2178-nucleotide RNA transcript. It is a transcript of the gene named apoptosis inhibitor 5-like protein API5, with no coding region annotated. The record is from RefSeq and is a predicted model, not a curated record. The transcript is spliced from 17 exons. NCBI's taxonomy places the organism in Eukaryota, Viridiplantae, Streptophyta, Magnoliopsida, Solanales, Solanaceae.
CUAUCCAAAAUCUUCCCUCUCUUCUUCCUUCAAUCUCCGUUCACUUCUCCUAAACCCUAGCUUUUCACCGGUGCACUUUCUCCUAUUAUCUACUUCAAUGGCGGAUGCUGCUGACGACAUAGACAAGCUCUACGAGUUCGGUGAACGUCUCAACGACGCAAAGGACAAGUCUGAGAAUAAGCAGGACUAUGAAGGAAUUAUUGCGGCAGCGAAUGGAAGUGUGAAGGCUAAACAACUUGCCGCGCAGCUUAUCCCCAAGUUUGUUAAGUUUUUCCCUGAGUUAGCGGAGCAGGCACUUGAUCAGCACUUAAAUUUGAUUGAAGAUCAAGAGCUUGGGGUCCGUGUACAAGCGAUCCGCGGACUUCCGCUAUUCUGCAAAGAUACACCUGAGCAGUUGACUAAAAUUGUUGACAUUCUUGGUCAGCUUCUCAUUGCAGGAGAAAAUGUAGAGCGUGAUGCUGUACACAAGGCUCUUAUGACCGUGUUACGUCAGGAUGUGAAGACUUCUCUAACUGCUUUGUUUAAGCAUAUUGGGAGCAUCGAGGAUCAGAGCGCUGAGGAUUUUAGCACUUGGGACAGCAUUCGCAAAAAAGUUCUUCUAUUUCUAAGAGAUAAGGUGUUCCCUCUAAAGACGGAGCUCCUAGUUCCACAGGAGCUGAUGGAGAGGCACAUAACUACUUUGGUGAAGCAGAAUUUGCAAGAUGUAACGGCUGCUGAAUUCAAAAUGUUCAUGGACUUCUUGAAAAGCUUGAGCUUAUUUGGCCAUAAGGCUCCUGCAGAGCGUAUCCAGGAGCUUGUUGAGAUAAUUGAAGGUCAGGCAGAUCUUGAUGCUCAGUUCAAUGUGUCUGAUGCUGAUCAUAUCGAGAGGUUCAUAUCGUGCCUUUCAAUGACCUUUCCCUUCUUCAAGAGGGGUGCAUCAGGCAGUAAGUUCCUCAACUAUCUGAACAAGCAAAUCAUGCCUGUUUUUGACAAGCUUCCAGAACAAGGGAAGUUGGACUUGCUCAAGAACCUCGCCGAGUGCUCACUUUGUGCAACGACUCAGGAUUCUCGACAGCUGCUUCCAUCUGUAGUUCAGCUAUUAAAGAAAUAUAUGGUUCGAAGAAAGAUUGAAGAAAUUAACUACACAUGUAUCGAGUGUCUAUUGUAUACCUUCCACCAUUUAGCUCACAAGACUCCAAAUGCCACAAACAGUCUCUGUGGGUACAAGAUUGUCACUGGACAACCAUCAGAUAGACUGGGGGAGGAUUUCUCGGAGCAAUAUAAGGACUUUACUGAGAGAUUAAGCACAGUUGACGAUUUGGCCAGGGCUAUGAUCAAGAAAUUAACCCAAGGGAUGGCAGAUCAAAACAAAGCUCUUGCUGCUGCUAAAACAGAAGAAGAAAAGGAUGCUAUUAAAACCCAAAAGCUUAAUGCUACCUUUGCGCUCCGAGCUUGCAACAAUAUAUUAGCAAUGACCCAGCCAUUGAAUGCAAAAACACCAAAAUUUAUAGGCGAUCAAAAAACAAAUUUGUCAUGGAAAGAAGCUGCGAAGCCUUCAGGUCCUUCAACUGCUACUGUUGCAGGUCAGAAGCGACCGGCUGCUACGACAAAUGGGUCAAACAAUAACCCUUUAAAAAAGGGCCGAGGAGCCGGUGGUACGCAACACCAGCUGGUUAACAAGGCAUUUUCAGGUAUCUAUGAUAGUGGAAGAAGCAGUGGAAGAGGUGGUAGGAGUUGGCGUGGUCGUGGAAGAGGACGGUCAUAUCACUAACGUGCUAACUCCACUGUAGCGUUAAAUUAGUUGCAGAACAAUCAGGUGAUUUUCCCGCUGGUAUGAAUUGGAUAUAUCUUGUGGCGAGCUGAACAAUUAGGUGAUCCUUUCCAUUGGUAUGAUUUGGACAUAUCUUAUGGCGACCCAGACGACUAUUUAGGCAGGUUCAUUGACGGAGGUUCUGAUUCUGUAGCUAUCAUCAAAGUUACCAGUUUUCGAUCAUUACCAUAUCAUUACAACACAUUCAGACGACGUUGAUGAGAUUCAAAGGAAAUCAUCGUUCAUACGUCUGUAUACAGUGGAUUCAUCGGAGAAGUGUGAACAAAAUGUAUGGAUUUUCGCUAUGUUCAAAGAGUAUUUCAGGGCAUUUUUUUCCUCAUUGUAGUGUAUGAAUAUUUGUUGUUUCAUGGAGAAAACUAUUGUGGCAA